Molecule: ribosomal RNA, 513 nt
Filed under: uncultured bacterium
Lineage: Bacteria
Description: partial 16S ribosomal RNA
Rfam family: Bacterial small subunit ribosomal RNA
Source: RNAcentral
AAUCAACGCUGGCGGCGUGCCUAACACAUGCAAGUCGAGCGGACAGAAGGGAGCUUGCUCCCGGAAGUUAGCGGCGGACGGGUGAGUAACACGUGGGCAACCUACCCUGUAGAUCGGGAUAACAUCGAGAAAUCGGUGCUAAUACCGGAUAAUCAUUUGAAGUGCAUGCUUCGAAUGUAAAAGAUGGCUCCGGCUAUCACUACGGGAUGGGCCCGCGGCGCAUUAGCUAGUUGGUAAGGUAAUGGCUUACCAAGGCAACGAUGCGUAGCCGACCUGAGAGGGUGAUCGGCCACACUGGGACUGAGACACGGCCCAGACUCCUACGGGAGGCAGCAGUAGGGAAUCUUCCGCAAUGGACGAAAGUCUGACGGAGCAACGCCGCGUGAGUGAUGAAGGUUUUCGGAUCGUAAAGCUCUGUUGUUAGGGAAGAACAAGUGCCGUUUGAAUAAGGCGGCACCUUGACGGUACCUAACCAGGAAGCCACGGCUAACUACGUGCCAGCCGCCGCCGUAA